AUGGGAAAGAAACCUGGAAAGGUAGGGAGGUAUGGAUAUGGACAAGCUAUGCCAAGGAGCAGGGCUUUGUCAUGGAGAGUGACUAGGUGCUUUUACAUAGGAAAGUCACCUGAUAAUAUUAAAACCUGUGAAAUAUCACUCUGGUGGAAGUGUGAAUGAAUUUGAAAGGGGUGUAACACUGUUCUACUUUGUUUACUCCUCAGUACCCUUGGCUGUGUACAUUUGAGUAAAGAGAGCACUAUAAAAUCAAAAACCAAUGAAAUGGUUUCCAGAACACAGAACUAUUAAGCUUAAGAAAAGGACAGAAGGAACUGAAGAGAGAGGAACUGUUUUGGAGCAUCACACUUCCACCUCAGAAGAAAUAAGGAAGGAAGGAGGAGGGUGUUCCCACGGCUCUUCAACCAGGCCGGCUCUUCAGCCUACAUCCCCAUCUCAUCAAGUAAAAGGGAUUUUUCAACUGGACCAACCAGAUGGUUUAACAGUGCACUCCCACACCAUUCAACUACGCAAGGGAGAUACACUUAACAUAUGCAGUCGUAUAACACCUACUAACAUUUUCAAACAUUAAACCUUUAAAAAAGAGUUCUAAAGAAAUAGAAGCUUGAAGUAUCAUCUCUCAAGUAUAUAGACACUACUUCAUGGUGUGGUAAUAUAUGCAUAUAGAAGCUAGUAAACACCUCCAGGAGAUGCAAAAGGAAUUAGAACUGCCACAAGGUGCAAGCAAAACCUUGAGGUAAUCAAUCUGCAUCCCAUUUUGGAUGAGAAUAUUUGCAACUUUGAAGGUUAUUUUAAGGACAGCAGCAGAAGAAUUAUGGCAGCUUCUUUAAAAUAUGAAGACUUCGAAGUUAUUUAUCCAAACCAACCUGAUCAUUUCUUAAGAGUGAAUAUACCUUGGAAGACGUGUCCUGCCUUUAGUAGCGUCACAAUGGAUUACAUCCUCUAUAAAGCAGUCUGGGAGGCUAACAUCUGCCACAAGACAAAUAUGGUGCCUGCCCCCAUGGAGCUCAUAUUCGAAUGGAGAAAAUGUCAACAAGUAUCCCACGGAGUGAACACUUCAAAAGGAGAAGCACAGGUGAGAAAAUCGAAUUUGGACACCGUUGAGGAGACUAUUGCAGUCAUCCAAGCUCAAGAUGGUGGAGCUUCAUCCUUGAGAAUAACCAAUGGGGAUAGAUUUAAGAGACACUUAGAGUCUGCAGCCAACAGGGCUGAAUGAGCAGAGAGUUAUGAUUCAGAAGAUCAUCUAAAAUUGAACAGCUGCCACUACUGGCAAUAAGUCUACUGCCAUUUGGUAGAUAACCUUCUUAUCACACAGAAAAAUAUCAGUACAGACAAAUAGACCGCAAAGAAAAUGAGACCAUCAGCAAAGAAGAUAAAGAAGUUUGUACAAAGCAACUUUUUAUAAAUGGAUGGCUGUCAGGCAAAAAUAAAUUUCCUGUGGACAAGACCAAGAGCAAGGCAAGAGGAAAAUAAACAUGUUUAAAC
This 1482-nucleotide long non-coding RNA is filed under the name Homo sapiens (human). RNAcentral's name for it is "long intergenic non-protein coding RNA 343". Lineage: Eukaryota; Metazoa; Chordata; Mammalia; Primates; Hominidae. The record is from RNAcentral.